GACGAACGCUGGCGGCGUGCUUAACACAUGCAAGUCGAACGGAAAGGCCCUGCUUUUGUGGGGUGCUCGAGUGGCGAACGGGUGAGUAACACGUGAGUAACCUGCCCUUGACUUUGGGAUAACUUCAGGAAACUGGGGCUAAUACCGGAUAGGAGCUCCUGCUGCAUGGUGGGGGUUGGAAAGUUUCGGCGGUUGGGGAUGGACUCGCGGCUUAUCAGCUUGUUGGUGGGGUAGUGGCUUACCAAGGCUUUGACGGGUAGCCGGCCUGAGAGGGUGACCGGCCACAUUGGGACUGAGAUACGGCCCAGACUCCUACGGGAGGCAGCAGUGGGGAAUAUUGCACAAUGGGCGGAAGCCUGAUGCAGCAACGCCGCGUGCGGGAUGACGGCCUUCGGGUUGUAAACCGCUUUCGCCUGUGACGAAGCGUGAGUGACGGUAAUGGGUAAAGAAGCACCGGCUAACUACGCGCCAGCAGCCGCGGUGAUACGUAGGGUGCGAGCGUUGUCCGGAUUUAUUGGGCGUAAAGGGCUCGUAGGUGGUUGAUCGCGUCGGAAGUGUAAUCUUGGGGCUUAACCCUGAGCGUGCUUUCGAUACGGGUUGACUUGAGGAAAGUAGGGGAGAAUGGGAUUCCUGGUGGAGCGGUGGAAUGCGCAGAUAUCAGGAGGAACACCAGUGGCGAAGGCGGUUCUCUGGGCCUUUCCUGACGCUGAGGAGCGAAAGCGUGGGGAGCGAACAGGCUUAGAUACCCUGGUAGUCCACGCUGUAAACGGUGGGUACUAGGUGUGGGGUCCAUUCCACGGGUUCCGUGCCGUAGCUAACGCUUUAAGUACCCCGCCUGGGGAGUACGGCCGCAAGGCUAAAACUCAAAGGAAUUGACGGGGCCCCGCACAAGCGGCGGAGCAUGCGGAUUAAUUCGAUGCAACGCGUAGAACCUUACCUGGGUUUGACAUGGAUCGGGAGUGCUCAGAGAUGGGUGUGCCUCUUUUGGGGUCGGUUCACAGGUGGUGCAUGGCUGUCGUCAGCUCGUGUCGUGAGAUGUUGGGUUAAGUCCCGCAACGAGCGCAACCCUUGUUCACUGUUGCCAGCACGUUAUGGUGGGGACUCAGUGGAGACCGCCGGGGUCAACUCGGAGGAAGGUGGGGAUGACGUCAAGUCAUCAUGCCCCUUAUGUCCAGGGCUUCACGCAUGCUACAAUGGCUGGUACAGAGAGUGGCGAGCCUGUGAGGGUGAGCGAAUCUCGGAAAGCCGGUCUCAGUUCGGAUUGGGGUCUGCAACUCGACCUCAUGAAGUCGGAGUCGCUAGUAAUCGCAGAUCAGCAACGCUGCGGUGAAUACGUUCUCGGG
Molecule: ribosomal RNA, 1343 nt
Filed under: uncultured bacterium
Lineage: Bacteria
Description: 16S ribosomal RNA
Rfam family: Bacterial small subunit ribosomal RNA
Source: RNAcentral